GGACCCGCACAAGUAGUGGAGCAUGUGGUUUAAUUCGAAGAUACGCGCAGAACCUUACCUACUCUUGACAUACUUGGAAGCUCUUGUAAUGAGAGUGUGCCUUUUGGAGCCAAGAUACAGGUGCUGCAUGGCUGUCGUCAGCUCGUGUCGUGAGAUGUUCCGUUAAGUCGGAUAACGAGCGCAACCCUUACCCUUAUUUGCCAGCGAUUCGGUCGGGAACUAUAAGGGGACUGCCGGUGAUAAACCGGAGGAAGGUGAGGACGACGUCAAGUCAUCAUGGCCCUUACGAGUAGGGCUACACACGUGCUACAAUGGGGAAUACAGACGGACGCUAAGCCGCGAGGUGGUGCUAAUCCUAGAAAGUUCUUCGUAGUCCGGAUUGGAGUCUGCAACUCGACUCCAUGAAGUCGGAAUCGCUAGUAA
RNAcentral lists this ribosomal RNA (423 nucleotides) under uncultured bacterium. RNAcentral describes it as "bacterial SSU rRNA". It matches the Rfam family "Bacterial small subunit ribosomal RNA", at positions 917 to 1341 of the family's 1533-position model. The record is from RNAcentral.